AUUGAACGCUGGCGGCAGGCCUAACACAUGCAAGUCGAGCGGAGGAAGGGAGCUUGCUCCUGGAUGCAGCGGCGGACGGGUGAGUAAUGGCUAGGAAGCUGCCUGGUAGGGGGGGAUAACGUCCGGAAACGGGCGCUAAUACCGCAUACGUCCAGAGGGAGAAAGGGGGGGAUCUUCGGACCACUCGCUCUUAGAUGAGCCUAGGUCGGAUCAGCUAGUUGUUGGGGUAAAGGCCUACUAAGGCGACGAUCCGUAACUGGCCUUAGAGGAUGAUCAGUCACACUGGGACUGAGACACGGUCCAGACUCCUACGGGAGGCAGCAGUGGGGAAUAUUGGACAAUGGGCGAAAGCCUGAUCCAGCCAUGCCGCGUGUGUGAAGAAGGUCUUCGGAUUCUAAAGCACUUUAAGUUGGGAGGAAGGGCAGUAAGUUUAUACCUUGCUGUUUUGACGUUACCAACAGAAUAAGCACCGGCUAACUUCGUG
RNAcentral lists this ribosomal RNA (484 nucleotides) under uncultured bacterium. RNAcentral's name for it is "partial 16S ribosomal RNA". It matches the Rfam family "Bacterial small subunit ribosomal RNA", at positions 30 to 507 of the family's 1533-position model. The record is from RNAcentral.